UACGUAGGGUGCAAGCGUUGUCCGGAAUUAUUGGGCGUAAAGAGCUCGUAGGCGGUCUGUCGCGUCGGAUGUGAAAAUCCAGGGCUCAACCCUGGACCUGCAUUCGAUACGGGCAGACUAGAGUUCGGUAGGGGAGACUGGAAUUCCUGGUGUAGCGGUGAAAUGCGCAGAUAUCAGGAGGAACACCGGUGGCGAAGGCGGGUCUCUGGGCCGGUACUGACGCUGAGGAGCGAAAGCGUGGGGAGCGAACAGG
Molecule: ribosomal RNA, 253 nt
Filed under: uncultured bacterium
Lineage: Bacteria
Description: partial 16S ribosomal RNA
Rfam family: Bacterial small subunit ribosomal RNA
Source: RNAcentral